RNAcentral lists this ribosomal RNA (461 nucleotides) under uncultured bacterium. RNAcentral's name for it is "bacterial SSU rRNA". It matches the Rfam family "Bacterial small subunit ribosomal RNA", at positions 40 to 496 of the family's 1533-position model. The record is from RNAcentral.
CGGCAGGCUUAACACAUGCAAGUCGAGGGGUAACAGGAGUAGCUUGCUACUUGCUGACGACCGGCGCACGGGUGCGUAACGCGUAUAGAAUCUACCUUGUACUAGGGGAUAGCCUUUGGAAACGAAGAUUAAUACCCUAUAGUAAGUAUUUAUGGCAUCAUUUAUACUUUAAAGGUUACGGUACAAGAUGACUAUGCGUCCUAUUAGUUUGUUGGUAAGGUAACGGCUUACCAAGACUUCGAUAGGUAGGGGCCCUGAGAGGGGGAUCCCCCACACUGGUACUGAGACACGGACCAGACUCCUACGGGAGGCAGCAGUGAGGAAUAUUGGACAAUGGAGGCAACUCUGAUCCAGCCAUGCCGCGUGCAGGAUGACGGCCCUAUGGGUUGUAAACUGCUUUUAUGUAGGAAGAAACACUCUCACGUGUGAGAGCUUGACGGUACUACAAGAAUAAGGACCGG